UACGGAGGGUGCAAACGUUGCUCGGAAUCAUUGGGCGUAAAGCGCACGUAGGCGGUCCGGCAAGUCGGGUGUGAAAUCCCUCGGCUUAACCGAGGAAGUGCAUUCGAAGCUACCGGACUUGAAUACUGGAGAGGGUCGCGGAAUUCCCGGUGUAGAGGUGAAAUUCGUAGAUAUCGGGAGGAACACCAGUGGCGAAGGCGGCUGCCUGGGCCUGGCCUGACGCUCAGGGGCGAAAGCGUGGGGAGCAAACCGG
This 253-nucleotide ribosomal RNA is filed under the name uncultured bacterium. RNAcentral describes it as "partial 16S ribosomal RNA". It matches the Rfam family "Bacterial small subunit ribosomal RNA", at positions 524 to 776 of the family's 1533-position model. The record is from RNAcentral.